This 76-nucleotide ribosomal RNA is filed under the name Planomicrobium sp. CPCC 101110. RNAcentral's name for it is "partial 23S ribosomal RNA". The record is from RNAcentral. Lineage: Bacteria; Bacillati; Bacillota; Bacilli; Caryophanales; Caryophanaceae.
AGGUAGAUAGGUUCGGGGUGGACGCAUGGCGACAUGUGCAGCUGACGAAUACUAAUCGAUCGAGGACUUAACCAAA